AUACGGAAGGUCCGGGCGUUAUCCGGAUUUAUUGGGUUUAAAGGGAGCGCAGGCGGAGAUGCAAGCGUGACGUCAAAUUUCGGGGCUCAACCCCGUCUCGCGUCGCGAACUGCGUCCCUUGGUUGCGGGAAGGGGAGGCGGAACUCGGGGUGUAGCGGUGAAAUGCAUAGAUAUCACGAAGAACUCCGAUCGCGAAGGCAGCCUUCCGGCCCGUCAACGACGCUCAUGCUCGAAGGUGCGGGUAUCAAACAGGAUUAGAUACCCUGGUAGUCCGCACAGUAAACGAUGGACACCCGCGGUUUGGCCUGUAUGGCUGAGCCGCCAAGCGAAAGCGUUAAGUGUCCCACCUGGGGAGUACGCCGGCAACGGUGAAACUCAAAUGAAUUGACGGGG
Molecule: ribosomal RNA, 393 nt
Filed under: uncultured bacterium
Lineage: Bacteria
Description: partial 16S ribosomal RNA
Rfam family: Bacterial small subunit ribosomal RNA
Source: RNAcentral